UAUUGCAUCUCUAUCUCAAUCAUAAUGAAUGUUGCAUGAGUUCCUCCCAAAGAAAAUUGUGUCAAGAUAAAUGUUCACCGCUUUUCAUCAGAAGGUCCUCUUCCAAAUGGCAACUCCAACAGGGUAGGUGUUCUCAUGAAUGCACAUGGCAGGAAACUGUGGGAAGCUUGUGGCCUUAAGCAUCACGACUAAUGUCAAGGAGGUCAUGUGGGGAAUACAAUCGGAGCCGCCAGAUGUGUUGAACUGGGUUUUCACAAGGUACACAUCGAUUGAGACUAAUGACUUCCUAGCUUUCAGUGUUAUCUGAUAUCAAGAAGAAAUGGUCAUCGAAAUGACUUAGUAGAAGUCAUGACUAGGUUUAACACAAUCCUUGCAAAUAACUUCAAACUUGGCAAAACAGAUCGCAUCGUCACUCGAGUCCCAGGAAGAUAAAAUGCUGCGCGGCUGAGUAAAUGGCUAUGUAUGGUCGGGAAAACCUUCCGGUCAUUGCAGCAGUCCCUGCUCAAGCACUACAAGAAAAGAGGUCAUUUUCGUCCGUCAAAUUCUGGUAAUAAGUAGCCGCUUUUCUUGUAGUGAAGGAGGAUGAGGGCGUGUUCUAAAUCUUUUAUUCUAUUUUUCCUCAAUUUCUAGGAUUUCACUACUUAUUGGCGUUUUUAUAUUUGAAAUUUCCGUCAGAAAUUGAAAGGUGAGACUAUUAAUCAUUGAACUAUAUCAUUUCGGUUUGGUAUUUAAUUUGUGACUACAGAAAAUGCUGGUCUGGUGUAGAUAUGUCCUUUCUUUUUAAUAAUUUGCAUUUAUUUUAUGCUUCAGCCACGUAAACUGAGACCAAAAAUCACUAUCGGAGAAAUGUCAAAAGUUGUCGCUUUUUUAUGAUCAUUAAUAGUUGCCAUAUUAAUAUGCAUGAAUUUUAUUAUAUAGUAGAUUGUAUAUGCACAUAUAAGAAUCAUUUGGUGACAAUGAUGCACGUCAAAUUUCCAACACAUGUUUAAUUAAAUUUCAUAUGUAUGUCUUUUCUUUUUGAUAUUUUACAUUUAUUUUUUUCUUCAGCCAAGUAAAUUGAGCAAUACAAAUAUUCACAAUGGGACAAAUGUCAAAAAUCGUCGCUUUUUUAUGAUAUGUAAUAUUUGCCAUAUUAAUAUGCAGGAAUUGUAUUAUAUAAUAGAAUAUUGUACAUGCACAUAUAAGAAUCAUUUGGUGAAAAUGUUGCAGGUCAAAUUUCCAACACAUGUUUAAUUAAAUUUUCUUUAGUUCAGGCAUUUGUGUUAAAAAUUUUCUAUCAUGUUUCUGCGGUCAUUAUCUACUUGGCACUCACCUUCACCAACAAAUCUAGUAUCACUCUUUAUUUCUUCAUUAAAUUUUAAAAUUUUCUCAUAUUUACAAAGAUUGUGCGCUGGUAUGUACCGUUUGUGGUGUAUGGUUCUAUUCUUAAUCCUCAAGAUUUGAGAUGUAUUGUUCUUUUUAGAUUUCAAAGUUUGUCCAUGUGUAUUUAUAUGUUAACUAAAAUAUAUCUUAAAAAUAUAUAAUAUGAUCUUUUCAAUAAGGCGAAGCGUGUAUUUUUCCUUUAUACAGAAUAUAAGUAAAUAACCCAUGACAAGUCAAUAAUUCCGGCAAAGAGGACACACUUAGAGAUUAAAUCUAUUGUCAAAAUUUUGUAUUAAAAUAUGUUUGCAUUCAGUAGACUCUGAGUCCAAGGAAUAGAUAUCACCUAUUGGUGUGCUUUAGUACUCCUGCGUCAUUUGUAGUAAUACUGUCAUGACUUAACAUUGGCUAGGUCUUUCCAUUUAUAAACUCAGUAUUGCAUCUCUGUCUCAAUCAUAAUGAAUGUUGCAUGAGUUCCUUCCGAAGAAAAUUGUGUCAAGAUAAAUGUUCACCGCUUUUCAUCAGAAGUUCCUCUUCCAAAUGGCAACUCCGACAGGAUUGGUGUUCUCAAGAAUGCAGAUGGCCGGAGACUGUGGGGAGCUUGUGUCCUUAUGCAUCACAUGACUAAUGUCAAAGCCGUCAUGUGGGGAAUACAAUCAGGAGAUGCCAGAUGUGUUGAACUGUGUUUUCACAAUCCAUGCAAAUAACUUCAAACUCGUCAAAACAGAUCGCAUUGUCACUCGAGUCCGAGAUAAAAUGCAGCGUAAGAAAUGGCUCAUGAAGAUGCCAUGUUGACAAACCAAGCUCAGGUCCCUUUAGGGGUUGAAGUUUAAUAUAUUAUAUUUUAAUAAUUAAUAAUUUAAAAUUAUUUUAGUUUUUCAAAAUUAUUACAAAUAAUCAUUUUUCUAAAACUCUACGCAACACACGUAUUUGACUAUUGCAACAUGAAAUGGACAUGAAUGAUUAUCAUUGUUGUUGGUAUGGAUUAGUAGUAACAUAAUUUUGCAACACUCAGUGUUCAUAAAAUUGCCUAGGUCAUCUAUGAUGUAGUGCUUGAAUGUAGUUUUCAGUGGUGUAACAUGGCAGCUAAUAUUGUUAAUUUUUGUUUUUCUAGGUAAUUUUUAGUGGUAGCUUCUCUUAGGAAGGCAUGCCCUCUUCACAUGUUAUGCUUGUAUAUGAUUGCUGGUUAGGGCUAUGGGCUGUGGUGUAUUUUUAUCUUAUUAAUGGAAUAUCCAUGUUUAUCAAAAAAAAAAAGAUAAGGGCUCUAAUCUUUAAUUAAUAUUGUAUAUAUUGUGAUUCAGUUUUCCUUUAGUGAUUAACAAUAUUUAAUAAAAAAAAUAUGGUGAAAUCACCCUGUAAUCUACUCAUCUUUUAAAAUAUUAAAGAGUAAUGUUUUUUGCAUAAAACUAUUAUACAUAAUGAUGUGCCAUAUUGCUAUCUAAAAUAUAGUAAAAUGAAGUUGUUGAGUGAUGGUUGAGGAAACACAGACAAUCUUAUUAAUGUUAAUGUCACAUCAUUUUGUGUAGCCAAUUUUGUGCGUGAUUUUCCCCAAUAAUACUACAUGUACAAAAUUAGGUUCUACAUAAUGAUGUGGAAUUGUUAAGCAUUAAUCACUCCUUGAAACUAGCAUUAACAAAGAUACAGAAAAAUUAUUUUAUGAUUAUAUGGUUAUCUAACACAAUUCUUUCCUUUUCGAUGUCUAUUAUUUAUUUAUAAUAAUACUAAUUUUUAACUAUUUAUUCUUACUACUUAAUAGUUGUAGUAAAUAAUUUUAAUGACAAUCUAUAGUGGCUCUAUCGAGAAAAUAAAACAUAUAAUUUAUGCGUGCGACUAUCUAAAUAUUUAGAUUUAUUGCAACCAUUAUUAAUUUAGAAAUAUUCCAAUUAGCUACACUCAAUAUAUAUAUAUUUAUGUAUAUAUAUAUAUAUAUAUAUAUAUAUAUAUAUAAUUGAUUAUCUCAUGAUCUCAUCAAUAAUAAUAAAAAAAUUAUCGCACACGCUUUUUAUAUCCUCGUCACAGUACUUAAAAUAAAUAAUUAAAUAUUUAUUACGUCACUAUAACUUUAAUCAAAGCGUAAUAAUGUUAAUUUAACUAUUACUCGUGCCUAUUUAUAAAUAUUAAUUUUUUGUACAAUUAAAAAAUAAAGUUAUUAAAUAAUAAUUACGUACUUGAGAAUUUGGGGUUGUUACAUCGUCAUAGUUAUUAUUACUUUAUCGAGCAAGAUUUUGAUAGAGUGUACUUGAAUUCUUUGGGUGGAUAUCUAAUACUCCCUCUGGUCCUUAUUAUAAGGCACCAAGACUUUUUGCACACAAUUCUAUGUGCUUUGACCACCUACUUAAAAUUAUUUUUUUUUUAAUUUCUUUUUUUGAAUUAAAAUAUAUAUCACAUAUUUUAAUUCAGAAAAAGAAAAAUUUAAAAAAAGUAAUUUUAAGUAGGUGGUCAAAGCACCUAGAAUUGUGUGCAAAAAGUCCUGGCGCCUUAUAAUAAGGACCAGAGGAAGUAUAUGAUUUUUUUUUCAUUGUUAUUUUUCUUAUCCCGAACAUAAUCUAAGAAAUUUUGAUAGAGUAUACUUGAAUAGGGGUGAGCAUUCGGUCGGUCCGAUCCAAAACCGGAUCAAACCGAAUAGACCCAAAAUCGAAGUUUGAAUUUUUUUUGGACCAAACCAGACCAAAGUUUUAUUAUGGACUGAACUGGACCGAACAGAAAUAAUUCGGUUCGGUCCGGACCAAAAGAACCGAAAUUAUUUUUAAAAUAAAAAAUUAUAUUAUAAAUAAAACUAUAAUUCAUCUUUUAUUUUUAAAUUUUCAUAUUAAUUAAUCACCCCCAAUUCAUUAAAGAUAUAUAUAAUUAAAUUUACAAAUUAGAUACUAUAAUUAUAACAUAAAAGAUAUAUCUAACAUAAAUAUUAAUUAAAAUCAUAUAUAUAUAUAUAUAUAUAUAUAUAUUGUUCUAUUCGGUCUAUUCGGGCCGGACCGAAUAUUUUUUUACGGACCGGACCGAACUUUAUUUCGGUCUAUUCGGUCCGGGCCGAAUGAACCGAAUUUUCAGAAAAUUAGGACCGAACCGAAUUUACACGAUUCGGUUUGGUUUUUCGGUUCCAGUUCAGUUUUACUCACCCCUAAUUUUAGGACGGGUAUUAUACUUUAAGGGGGUAUAUUCGAUUGAGAUUUUAAAGGAUUUUUUUUCAUUAAUGAAAUCCGAGAAUAUUCAAUUGGGAUUAUUCAAAAUGUUUUAAAAUCUUAGGAUAGUCAAUUGAGAUUUUAAAUUAUUUUACAAAAUCUGGUGGUAUUCAAUUAGGAUUGAAAAUUAUGCUUAAAAAUCCUAUGGUAUUCAAUUGAAAUUGUUUAAAAUCUAUUAAAAUCUGAAUGGUAAUGGAUUGUUUGGAUUUCAUAAAAUUAUGGAUUUUGUAGGGAUUCCGUUUUUUGAAAUCCCACCAAAAAAUUAAUGUGAUUUGGAGGUAUUCUGCUUGAAUCCUAAAGAAUCUAUAUAACUCUAUUUUAUGACAUUUUAUCAAAAAUGCCCAUUAAAUUUAAAUCACAUGCAAUCCAUUAAAAUACAUAUAUUAAAAACAAUACAUUAAAAUAUCAACAGAAUUGAAUACACCGCCAGAUUAAUCUGUUAUAUUCUACGAAAAUUCAUAAAUUGUUUAUGAAUUCAACAUAUAUAUAUCUCUCUUCUAUCAAUGAGUAGAAAGAUUAUAUGCAUGAAAAAAAUAUGCAAAAGAUUCUCCCUAGCUAUAAAUUCCAUGAACACAGCUGUUUUAUUCAAUAACUGUGAAAUCUCAUAUACCUUAUUAUCUUUUUAAACUCAUAUAAACAAUAAAAAUACAGCUCAUAUAUGCUAUCAGCUGAGAGGCUAUAUACUUAUCUCUUUCAUUGUUUAGUUCACAGCAAUAACAUAUUCGCAGUGAUGAGUAAUUCAAACCAAAAUGGUUUAACAAGCCCAAUAUCUACAGCUCCAGGGAGGCAUGGAGGAGCUCCUCAAUAUUCAUUCAAUUCUGAUGGGUCUUUAAUGACCAACGGUGAG
Molecule: long non-coding RNA, 5385 nt
Filed under: Daucus carota (carrot)
Lineage: Eukaryota; Viridiplantae; Streptophyta; Magnoliopsida; Apiales; Apiaceae
Description: long non-coding RNA (DCAR_LNC007592)
Source: RNAcentral